RNAcentral lists this ribosomal RNA (253 nucleotides) under uncultured bacterium. Its description in RNAcentral is "partial 16S ribosomal RNA". It matches the Rfam family "Bacterial small subunit ribosomal RNA", at positions 524 to 776 of the family's 1533-position model. The record is from RNAcentral.
UACGUAGGUGGCAAGCGUUAUCCGGAAUUACUGGGCGUAAAGCGCACGCAGGCGGUCUUGUAAGUUUGACGUGAAAGCUCCCGGCUUAACUGGGAGAGGUCGUUGAAGACUGCAAGACUUGAGGAAAUGAGAGGGGUGUAGAAUUCCUGGUGUAGUAGUGGAAUGCGUAGAUAUCAGGAGGAAUACCAGUGGCGAAAGCGGCACCCUAGCAUUUUUCUGACGCUCAUGUGCGAAAGCGUGGGGAGCGAACGGG